UUCCGGCGCGAGCCGCGGUCUUAGCAAACCGUCUCGAAAUCGUCGGGAGAAAUAAACCCCUAACGUCGUCUUCUAGUCAGGCAUUACUUUAUCCUUGCCCAGGAUCCUUCUGUGCGUGCCCGACAAAAUUUCGGCCUCCACACAGAAGCUGUUAAAAAAACCUUUCUCACUUAUUUAUACAUUUUUAACAGAUUAAUGCUCCCUGGUUCUAAAUUACAUAAUUCGUCAUUUCCAACAUGGGAGGCGCCUCAGGGCGGCUGAGGGGCUGCCGUGCCCUGAGUUGUCACGGGCUAUCCUGCUGUGCAGCCCUCCCUCUUCCCUGCCACUAGUUCACUUUUCUCGUUAAUUUUCAAUUAAUUAUUCUAAUUAAUCACAAUCAGGAUGUUAACUAUAAGCAGUGCACUAGUGUGUGCACUAGACCUGUAGGAAAGCAUGGUCCAGAAACCUGCUGCACGGUGCCUGGUUGGGAUGAUCAUCGGAAAUACCUUCGCGACAGGGUGGAAGUCACCCGGAGACAAAGGGUUCUACCCAGCCCUUUUCGGCCUAAAUGCUGAAAAUAAAGAUGGUGCUUUUGUCCCAGUGGGGGGCAGAGAACAAGAAUCCAGCGCUGCCUUGCCAAGACACACUCGAUUUGAGCUGAAAAGGUCACUGCCCGUGUGAUUGCAUCAGCACGGCCGCCGAAGGGAUGAGGCUGGGACAGGCUGGCUGCUCUUACCAAGGGUGAGGCACUUCACGUGGAGUUUGCUGAAAAGAACCAGGAAACUCCAAUACUGCUAUCAUGCUGAAAUGUGCCUCGAACAGAGGUGUUCUCCCCAGUGAGGAGGAUGCUGAAAAAUGUAUCAGAACGCCCAUUUUUUAAUACUCAUGGAAUGAAUGAGAAUCCUUGCCAUAAACUAUUUCUGAUGUGUUGUGCCCAUCUCCAGCACAAUGGCCAAAGGUGGCUGUUUAAUGUAACUAGAACAUUAACAGAGGAUUUGCAGGUAUGAUGCAUAAGGAAGGUUCAUCUCCAGGCAUCAAAGAGGUCUGGUAGAUAUACACCCAUUUCCCUGAAGAGACGGAUCAACACAACAUCUUAUAGAAGGUGGGGCAGUGUUCUUAUCUCUUCUGUGACACAUCCCUGAUAACUUCCUCUGGAGGGAUAUCUUCUGUUAAUGGGCCAUUGAGUCUCACUGCAUGACUGAUAAAAUUGCAUCAUCCCACUGUGAGAUGCUCUGCCCAGAGGUAGGAGCCAAGCAUUCCUACCUGGAUGUAAUCUGAAGUUUGGAACACCAUGGGCAGCCUUUCUCCACUAGAUUCCCAGAGGACAAGAGCUGCAUUCACCACUGGACCUUCAGAGGAAGAUCCAACUCUUCUACAGGAUCACCACUUCAAGAGAACUACAUCUAUCACUUCAACAGGACUGCAGAAGCCAUUUAAUUGAACUGCUACCACCAUCCUGACCAACUGGCUGUCAGAAUUAUUUUCAGCUAGAUCCUUCUCCAGACCUGGCCAAGACUGCAGUCUCAGAACUGCUGAAGCUGCAGUAAUCUCUCAAACUGAUGAGGACAAUGUUGGGAGGAGUACAGAAGAGUUAGAGCAGGAGUGAAUACUCAUCUCUUGGUCACCAAAUCUACUGUUUCCAGGAAAUAAAUUAGACACACCUUGAAAGCAGCAUCAUCCAAGGGAAGUCCAAAGAUCUUUCAGUGACCCAUCCAGAGUGGUGUGGGGAGGAAGAGCCAGCUGGCACUUCGUCAGUUUUUCUGUGUGAAUCAGUUUUGUGUGUUAUACUUUUUGUUAUUAAUAUUGUUGCUGUUGCAGUUCAAUUUUCUUACCUCAUUCCUGCUUUCAGUAAAUUGUUCUUAUCUCAACCUGUAAUUUUUAUCUUUUUAUCCUGCAAUUCUCAAUGCCAUCCCCACAGUGGGAAAAGGCAGAAGAAUGGGAGAGUGAGCAAGCAGUGUCUGGUUUGGGAGAGUCUUGGGGAGGGGGGUACUUACCUGGGGAGUGCCAUCCCUAAAACAGACACCUAUAAAAUACAGUAUCACAAUCACCAAUAAUAAAAAUUAACUUUAUUUCUUUAUUUAUUUAUUUAUUAUUAUUAUUAUUAACUUCAGCCUAUGCAAAGUACGAAGUUAUUGACUAAACUGGUCCUUUCUCUCUUACAUGUAACCAAGUGCCAUUGAGAAGGGACUACUCAGAGGUUCCAUUGUGUUUUGAUAAACAUCUUGUCUCAAGAGGUAGAAAAACUGUGGGAGGAACAUGGAUGUAAAUUGCUCUAGUCUGAAAAGUGAGUGGAAGUAGGAGCAGAAUUAACAUUCAGUAACCACUGCUGCCCUUCAAGAAAGCAUCUCACGGCCCUUCAGAGUAACUUGUUUCUUGUGAACCCAGCUGGCAAUUAAAAUGGAAGUCCUGGAGUGAAGAAGGAACCAAGGAAAAGGAAAGAACCAGCAUAACUUGAAAUUCAUGGAUAUUGGAGAGUCUUAGCUGGGACCAGUGAGAUGCAGCCAGACUCCAGCACAUGAAGGAAGGAUCAGUAUUUGCAUUCAGUAAAUUAGGAGAAUAGAAGUAUUUCCCAGUGAUGGGGCUUCCUCAAGGCCUUCCUGCCUAUCUGUGGCAGAUCUGUGAAAAAUGAAGAUAAAAAUCCCAUGAAUCCCAAAAAAGGUAAUGAAAUGGGGAGACCCAGCUGCCAGAUCUCUGGGGUUUUGGUGUGUGGCUUUGGUUGGAGGGAGUAUUGUAACUAAUGUAAGUGGAAAAAUUCCUACAAUCUCCUUUACUGGCUUUACAUAUGCAGCACAGGAUGUAAAAAUGCCGAUGCCCUAGAGAAGGCUCUUUUUAAAACCCCUUCUUUUUACCUAAACAUCAUAAUAAAUCUGGAAUUUGCUCUCCAAAAAAUGAAGAAUGAAAAUAAUAACCCAAAAAUAAUCAGAAAUUGGUGCUGUACUGUAAACAAAAAAAAAAGCCCACAGUGAAAUGAUGGAAAAAUCCUGCAUAAACUUGAUCACCCAACAUUUUCUACAUUUCUACAUUGUUUUCUACAUUUCAUAUAAUAUUUUAAAUCAAGACAAUCAGAUAUAAGUCUGUAAUGAAAGUUAUACUAGCAUAUCAGUCUUAAUUCUGAUUUAUGUUAACCAAGAUUUGGCCAUAUCAUGGAGUGUGGCUCUUUGCCCAUUCCCCUAUCUAACUGCAACAACAGAACCAAAACUCCCCUCACAAACCAAAUUUUUAGUCAGUUUUAUGCAUUUAUUCCUUCUACCCCAAUGUAUCUUUCUGCUCUGCACUUUCUGCAUCUCUGAUUAUUACAAUUUCUAUUAUGUUUUAGGUACAGUCUUAGUCAGGAUACAACCCUCUGCUUUCUUUUACUGUAAAUUAGUGCAGUAUUUUGUGUGGGAACAUAUAUAGGUGUAGAGAUAGAAACAGUCAUCUUAAAGUUCACAAAAUGAAUGUAAGUCAGACUUUUCUGCAGUUCAAUAUAUUUAUGAAGGACAACCUACCAUUUUUGUUGCAGCUUCAGUUAAGCUGUGUGGGAAUGUAGUUCUACUGUGCCAAGUAGUUUCUGACAUAUCCAUUACUUUAACAAAAGUCUAUUCUGUAGCUUAUGUACAGCUUGAGAAUGAAGGGAGAGAGUAGUGCCUGCUGCAUCAUCCAGCUCUGGGUACUGCAUGAAAUCCUCUUUUUUGGAAACUCAUGGUCACCAUUAAGGUUUUUCUUGCCCAAAUUCUAGUCCUUCCUUGCCUGUUAUCUGUGUCUGUGAUUUAGACAGCAGGUGUGUGUCCUGGGGUAGGGCCUGGCAGUGUGGGGGCAGGCAAGGGAUGAAUGGGACUGGUGUGUGGACUAGAGAGUGAGUGCCCAUGCUCCAGCAGCAGCAUUUCCCUCCAGUUUACCAGGAUGUCUGACACUUCCUGCUAUCACUUCACCUAACACACUCUUCCAGCCCAGCAGCAUAAAUUCAGUAUCACAAGAGCCUCUUUUUACCCCAAUUUACCUUUUUGGACUUGUCAACAAGCAAGGGCUCUGUAUGGUCAACUCCUGCAUUGCUUUGUAUCCCCUGCCAUUUAAGAGCAUCUUUCCUGUAAUUCUUUAAGGAAGCCCUCACCCUCCUGUAAAGAUACUUUUUCUUAGAGUACAAAUUGAUAUCUUUAGGAGCCAAGUGUGGGAAACAAAACACAAGUUGUAGUUCAACUAUAAAUUAAAAUCAGUAUUCCAAGGAAUAACUCUGUUUGUGUAUGGGACUCUGUUUACUUGCAGUAACAUUGUGAGGAAUCAGAUAUUCUAAUUGACGCUUUCCCUGUGGCAUGUCUAGUAUUUUUAAGUGUCAGCCCUAGGGAUGUCAGCCACAGUUGUGAGGCACCAGAUUUAUACAUAGGAUUGACUUAGUCCUUCUCCUCAAGCCCUUGACCAUCUCAUAACUUUCAACUCUUCAGCUGAGAACUGUGGGUUCUCAGUAAUCAGGAGAUGAAAAUGAAGGGGCCAUAAAGGGAAGGGGUGUUUUACCUUGGAGACUUGGUUUUCCUUCCUAGCUUCCUCAAGGCAUCCAUUGAACUACUUUGGAAAUCUCUGAACCUCACUUUGCCUCAGCUGCUCCAUCUAUAUGCACUUGUCUCUUAAGUCUCUUCAAAAUCAGGUAAUGAUAGUCUAAGCGUGGGCUGUUGAUGCUGAGCACACAGUGAUGCUGUUAAACUCUAAAAUAAUUUUGUUGCUCUUACCAGUUCAUCUUGGAAUUACUGGCAUGGUAAAUCUGUAUAUCCCAUGACUAAUUUACAAUAACUGGAACUGAAACAUGUACAAAUUGUUACUUUCCCAGCUCUGGUUCACAAAGAUGUGAAAUGCAGAAUGACCACACCAAUGUUUCAGAUCAAUUGAUCAGCAGCAAAAAGGUGGGGAGCUGAAGUGCUCUUGUCCAUUAUGCAGAGAUAGUAACUUUUUUGCUUUUUUUUUGCAAAAAAGACAAUAACUUUUUGCUCCCCAAAAGCAGCAAAAAGUCAGCUUUAAAUUAACCACUGCCCAGGCAAAAACCUGACUUUGCAUAAGUCUUAAUGAUGUUGUGCAGAGGAGCUGAGCAGCACAGUUGACUCUUCUGUGAGAAGAGUCUUCCCAGGUUGGCAUGGAGGGUGAGGAGCUCCAAGCUGCUCCCAUGGAUGGGAGCCAAGAGAAGGACCUGCACUAAUUCCUGCUAAUUGCCUCUUAGCAGGCAUGGCUCUGUGUGGGCUGCUCAAGAAAAAGCCACCUUCAAAAGUCAGCUCCAGCAGAAAAAAAAAAUCAAAUUCCACAGCACUAAGGACACCCAAACAUGAAAUUUGUAUUCACUGGCCAACAACAGUCACUGUUAGACCACCCACCACUUCUCCUGUGUCACAGGUAAUCAAGGGCUGGUCAAAGCUUGGUGCACUGGCAGUGGUUUUUCUGCUGCCUGUAUUUUUCCCUCACUGUGCACAGGGGACUGCUAUGGGAGAGAUGGGAAUGCAAUCAGAAGCUGCACAAAGUGUAUCAAGGAAUACAGCCAGGGCAGCCAGUAUUCUCUUUACUUGUUGCAGCUCUGUGAGGAGAAUCAUAAUCUCUGUGUAUAUGUGGAAAAAAGGUCCCAACAAAAAACCUACAGUGAUAGAAUAACUUGCAAAAGGCAGGAAAUUCAGAGCUCACAUGGCAGCCCUGCACUCCCUGUGCAGCUCAGAGAGUCAGACUAGCUCAGCUAGCACUGGGGGAUUUCAGCCACAGAAGGAAGUUCAAAUGCUCUCUCAGCAGAUGCCUGCUGUUUGGAGAAUCUCCACCCAAAUGCUUGCCUACUGAGUAGUUAAAUUUGACAAGCAGCUUUCGUCCCUAUUUCUGUGCUACUUUUCAUCAGCUUAGUGUAUAUCCCUCUUGUUGCUGUACUGCCUUGUUUUGAUAACUUCAUUUCUUUAGCCUGCCUGUCCCCUUGUUCUGCUUCCAAGUGCUCUGUUUCCCAGAUUCCUUCCAAUACAUUUUGUAGCACUAGAGAAAUUCUUUAAUUUCCAUAGGACUCUGCUGCUCUCUGCUCACCAAAGGAGCAUCUGAACAGAUUCACUCUUGUAUCAGCUGCUGAAGUUUGUUUAUUUGGCACCCAGGAGAGGUGAAAACAGAAAUGAUAGGAUUUUCCAUGUCUUCUGAAAAAGUUUAGUUUGAAUAUCAGUCUCAUGCCUAAAUUUUGUCCUAAUUUAUGUAAGACUGUAAGUCCCACUUUUGCUUCUUUCUGAUGUUACUAGUUCUCAGUAUGGGCUGCAGUAAGACUGAUAGUGAAAGAACCUGAAUUCUCUACAGUAGAAUUUGUAGCUUAUCAUAUUCAAUAAUAUGAAAGUAAGUUAUAAAGUUUAAACCAUUUAUCUAAAUUAAUAGGGAAAUAAAGCUAUGGUGAAAGAUGAUAAAACACAUAAAGAUAAUUCAAUAUUUAAUAUCUUACAUCCUGCUGGACUGAAUUUAUUAAUGAGGUUUAGAUCUAAAUGCUAUCCUGUCUCGGGUGGGACAAGUCAACUCUUUUCCUAUGACACAAUACCUAUAAUGAUGGAAGAAUCUUUCCAAUCUAAAUAAAUUUGAAGCUUAGCAAGAACAUAAUUGCCAUGUACCUAGCCAUGUGCAUUCCUGUAAUUUGGUCCAAGAUCAAUUUCCCAGAGUAGGUGAAAAUUUGUGGAUUAACACACAGACAUGCAGACACACACACAUGCUACAAAGGCUAGAUCUCUGCAAAUAACUUGUUUCCUUCUCAAAGUGCAAGCAAGCUAUAAAAAGAAUAGUUUGGAGACAAAGAAACCAAGCAAUGUUAAUGUCAAGAUGCCACUAUAAAGAGAUACUUUAGUUAAAACAGAAAACUUUUAUAUGUGACUUCAUGUCUUCAUGAUUAAAUUUACUUCCAGCAAAACUCUAAGACCAGUCUGAACUGAUUAAAGGAAGUUCUACUUGGAAUUUCUUCUGGCUAAAACAAGUUAAUUGUAAUCAGAAUUUCAAUCACUUCUUCAAAAACUUCUGUUUCUUGAGUGAAGAAUUUAUAAAAAUUAAUAAAAAUAAUCUGCUUUGUUCAUGUCACAAUCAAAUGGCAAAACAUGACCAAAUAUCACCCACACAUAGAGGAGGGCAAGGAAAACUUCUGAGUGUUCCAACAGGAAGGGUUUAAUGUAGAGUUUUGGGGAAAUGAAAGUACUGAUAAUCACCUCAAAAUUGUAAAUAACCUCCUUGAAAGCAGAUGUCAGUUAAGCAGAGAAUUUAAUCAGAAAAAUAAGUGUUACUUUAAAGACAUUUUUGGGAUUUAAAAAUAAAAGGGAGAAAAAAGCAAAUAAGUUUAGAUAAAGUUUUCAGAGAAAAAUUCAAUGCUUCCAUUUUUGAUACAGUUGUAAUUCCAGGGGAGAGAAGCUGCAGUCCACAAAAAAUUGUACUUAAAAAUAAAUUUCUUGUUGAAAACUUGCUUUGAUUAUUUUUCUUUUUCUUAAGAGUUCCUAGCUGGCUUGGUAGAAAUAGCUAUAUUCUAAA
This is a long non-coding RNA of Parus major (Great Tit), 7449 nucleotides long. RefSeq lists it as uncharacterized. The record is from RefSeq and is a predicted model, not a curated record. NCBI's taxonomy places the organism in Eukaryota, Metazoa, Chordata, Aves, Passeriformes, Paridae. The transcript has 7 exons.